CCCUUAGAUGUUCUGGGCCGCACACGCGCUACACUGAAGGAGGCAGCGUGUACUCCUGGAUCGAAAGAUUUGGGUAACCAGCGAAUCUCCUUCGUGCUAGGGAUUGAGGUUUGCAAUUAUCCUUCAUGAACGAGGAAUUCCCAGUAAGUGCAAGUCAUAAGCUUGCGCUGACUACGUCCCUGCCCUUUGUACACACCGCCCGUCGCUACUACCGAUUGAAUGAUUUAGUGAGGACUUCGGACUGGGACCGAUGCGGCUUUCGGGCUGCGUCGGUAUUCUGGAAAGAUGUCCAAACUGUAUCAUUUAGAGGAAGUAAAAGUCGUAACA
RNAcentral lists this ribosomal RNA (327 nucleotides) under uncultured eukaryote. RNAcentral's name for it is "partial 18S ribosomal RNA". It matches the Rfam family "Eukaryotic small subunit ribosomal RNA", at positions 1470 to 1796 of the family's 1831-position model. The record is from RNAcentral.